Molecule: long non-coding RNA, 388 nt
Filed under: Callithrix jacchus (white-tufted-ear marmoset)
Lineage: Eukaryota; Metazoa; Chordata; Mammalia; Primates; Cebidae
Description: lncRNA (ENSCJAG00000080654.1)
Source: RNAcentral
CAAUCAUUUCCCUGUGGAUAUGCCCUUUGCAUCUAAGUUAAUUGCAACAUCUCUUCUCUGCCUAUGCACGUGUGAUACUUUGACUCUCUUUGAAUCAGUUGAAAGAAACAGCUUACUCAUUAUUAAUAAGGCAUCAUGGAGUGCAGUGCCCAGUGGACUCAUCAGACAAAGAAGGGUAAAGUCUGUUACCAGAAAAGUAAGUGCACCUCGCAGGUGGCUUCAGCCCACGGAUCUCUUAUCUGGCUCACAAACGUCAAUCCCAAAUGAUGAUAGAACUGAACUCACUCCCACACUGAGAGCAUUGAUCCAUAAAGGAGGGCAGAGCCAUCAUGACCCCAUCACCUCUUACAGGGCUUCCAUAAUGAAGUACCACAAACCAGGAGGCUGA